This 337-nucleotide long non-coding RNA is filed under the name Ricinus communis (castor bean). RNAcentral's name for it is "long non-coding RNA (RCOM_LNC000371)". Lineage: Eukaryota; Viridiplantae; Streptophyta; Magnoliopsida; Malpighiales; Euphorbiaceae. The record is from RNAcentral.
GCAAAUAGCAAACAUGCCCAUCAAAACCCUAUUUCUGAUCUGGGCAUCUCUACCUAUAUAUAUAUAUAUGUAUGUGUAUCCUCUCUUUUCUUCUCAUGAUCUCCAGAUUUUGAUACCCAUGACCACCAACUAUCACUAUUUUGGUCCUUUCCACAUGUCAGGCCGGCCAUGCACCCCCUCGCCUUCUACAUUCAUUGCCACUCCUCUGAUUUCCGAUCAUUAUCCUACGCCUACAUAUUAUAUAUAGUCUUGUCAUUUGUUAGUGAAGUGAAGUAAUGUUGCCCAUUUGCAUUUUGCAAGCGGCCAAGCGCCUUCCUGCACCUAGGGUUGGGUUCCA